GGGUUGUGAGGUUAAGCGACUAAGCGUACACGGUGGAUGCCCUGGCAGUCAGAGGCGAUGAAGGACGUGCUAAUCUGCGAUAAGCGUCGGUAAGGUGAUAUGAACCGUUAUAACCGGCGAUUUCCGAAUGGGGAAACCCAGUGUGUUUCGACACACUAUCAUUAACUGAAUCCAUAGGUUAAUGAGGCGAACCGGGGGAACUGAAACAUCUAAGUACCCCGAGGAAAAGAAAUCAACCGAGAUUCCCCCAGUAGCGGCGAGCGAACGGGGAGCAGCCCAGAGCCUGAAUCAGUGUGUGUGUUAGUGGAAGCGUCUGGAAAGGCGUGCGAUACAGGGUGACAGCCCCGUACACAAAAAUGCACAUAUUGUGAGCUCGAUGAGUAGGGCGGGACACGUGGUAUCCUGUCUGAAUAUGGGGGGACCAUCCUCCAAGGCUAAAUACUCCUGACUGACCGAUAGUGAACCAGUACCGUGAGGGAAAGGCGAAAAGAACCCCGGCGAGGGGAGUGAAAAAGAACCUGAAACCGUGUACGUACAAGCAGUGGGAGCACGCUUAGGCGUGUGACUGCGUACCUUUUGUAUAAUGGGUCAGCGACUUAUAUUCUGUAGCAAGGUUAACCGAAUAGGGGAGCCGAAGGGAAACCGAGUCUUAACUGGGCGUUAAGUUGCAGGGUAUAGACCCGAAACCCGGUGAUCUAGCCAUGGGCAGGUUGAAGGUUGGGUAACACUAACUGGAGGACCGAACCGACUAAUGUUGAAAAAUUAGCGGAUGACUUGUGGCUGGGGGUGAAAGGCCAAUCAAACCGGGAGAUAGCUGGUUCUCCCCGAAAGCUAUUUAGGUAGCGCCUCGUGAAUUCAUCUCCGGGGGUAGAGCACUGUUUCGGCAAGGGGGUCAUCCCGACUUACCAACCCGAUGCAAACUGCGAAUACCGGAGAAUGUUAUCACGGGAGACACACGGCGGGUGCUAACGUCCGUCGUGAAGAGGGAAACAACCCAGACCGCCAGCUAAGGUCCCAAAGUCAUGGUUAAGUGGGAAACGAUGUGGGAAGGCCCAGACAGCCAGGAUGUUGGCUUAGAAGCAGCCAUCAUUUAAAGAAAGCGUAAUAGCUCACUGGUCGAGUCGGCCUGCGCGGAAGAUGUAACGGGGCUAAACCAUGCACCGAAGCUGCGGCAGCGACACUAUGUGUUGUUGGGUAGGGGAGCGUUCUGUAAGCCUGUGAAGGUGUACUGUGAGGUAUGCUGGAGGUAUCAGAAGUGCGAAUGCUGACAUAAGUAACGAUAAAGCGGGUGAAAAGCCCGCUCGCCGGAAGACCAAGGGUUCCUGUCCAACGUUAAUCGGGGCAGGGUGAGUCGACCCCUAAGGCGAGGCCGAAAGGCGUAGUCGAUGGGAAACAGGUUAAUAUUCCUGUACUUGGUGUUACUGCGAAGGGGGGACGGAGAAGGCUAUGUUGGCCGGGCGACGGUUGUCCCGGUUUAAGCGUGUAGGCUGGUUUUCCAGGCAAAUCCGGAAAAUCAAGGCUGAGGCGUGAUGACGAGGCACUACGGUGCUGAAGCAACAAAUGCCCUGCUUCCAGGAAAAGCCUCUAAGCAUCAGGUAACAUCAAAUCGUACCCCAAACCGACACAGGUGGUCAGGUAGAGAAUACCAAGGCGCUUGAGAGAACUCGGGUGAAGGAACUAGGCAAAAUGGUGCCGUAACUUCGGGAGAAGGCACGCUGAUAUGUAGGUGAAGUCCCUCGCGGAUGGAGCUGAAAUCAGUCGAAGAUACCAGCUGGCUGCAACUGUUUAUUAAAAACACAGCACUGUGCAAACACGAAAGUGGACGUAUACGGUGUGACGCCUGCCCGGUGCCGGAAGGUUAAUUGAUGGGGUCAGCGCAAGCGAAGCUCUUGAUCGAAGCCCCGGUAAACGGCGGCCGUAACUAUAACGGUCCUAAGGUAGCGAAAUUCCUUGUCGGGUAAGUUCCGACCUGCACGAAUGGCGUAAUGAUGGCCAGGCUGUCUCCACCCGAGACUCAGUGAAAUUGAACUCGCUGUGAAGAUGCAGUGUACCCGCGGCAAGACGGAAAGACCCCGUGAACCUUUACUAUAGCUUGACACUGAACAUUGAGCCUUGAUGUGUAGGAUAGGUGGGAGGCUUUGAAGUGUGGACGCCAGUCUGCAUGGAGCCGACCUUGAAAUACCACCCUUUAAUGUUUGAUGUUCUAACGUUGACCCGUAAUCCGGGUUGCGGACAGUGUCUGGUGGGUAGUUUGACUGGGGCGGUCUCCUCCUAAAGAGUAACGGAGGAGCACGAAGGUUGGCUAAUCCUGGUCGGACAUCAGGAGGUUAGUGCAAUGGCAUAAGCCAGCUUGACUGCGAGCGUGACGGCGCGAGCAGGUGCGAAAGCAGGUCAUAGUGAUCCGGUGGUUCUGAAUGGAAGGGCCAUCGCUCAACGGAUAAAAGGUACUCCGGGGAUAACAGGCUGAUACCGCCCAAGAGUUCAUAUCGACGGCGGUGUUUGGCACCUCGAUGUCGGCUCAUCACAUCCUGGGGCUGAAGUAGGUCCCAAGGGUAUGGCUGUUCGCCAUUUAAAGUGGUACGCGAGCUGGGUUUAGAACGUCGUGAGACAGUUCGGUCCCUAUCUGCCGUGGGCGCUGGAGAACUGAGGGGGGCUGCUCCUAGUACGAGAGGACCGGAGUGGACGCAUCACUGGUGUUCGGGUUGUCAUGCCAAUGGCACUGCCCGGUAGCUAAAUGCGGAAGAGAUAAGUGCUGAAAGCAUCUAAGCACGAAACUUGCCCCGAGAUGAGUUCUCCCUGACUCCUUGAGAGUCCUGAAGGAACGUUGAAGACGACGACGUUGAUAGGCCGGGUGUGUAAGCGCAGCGAUGCGUUGAGCUAACCGGUACUAAUGAACCGUGAGGCUUAACCUUACAACGCCGAAG
RNAcentral lists this ribosomal RNA (2924 nucleotides) under Escherichia coli. Its description in RNAcentral is "bacterial LSU rRNA". It matches the Rfam family "Bacterial large subunit ribosomal RNA". Lineage: Bacteria; Pseudomonadati; Pseudomonadota; Gammaproteobacteria; Enterobacterales; Enterobacteriaceae. The record is from RNAcentral.